AACGAACGCUGGCGGCAUGCCUAACACAUGCAAGUCGAACGAGACCUUCGGGUCUAGUGGCGCACGGGUGCGUAACGCGUGGGAACCUGCCCUUAGGUUCGGAAUAACUCCCCGAAAGGGGUGCUAAUACCGGAUAAUGUCUUCGGACCAAAGAUUUAUCGCCUUUGGAUGGGCCCGCGUUGGAUUAGCUAGUUGGUAGGGUAAAAGCCUACCAAGGCGACGAUCCAUAGCUGGUCUGAGAGGAUGAUCAGCCACACUGGGACUGAGACACGGCCCAGACUCCUACGGGAGGCAGCAGUGGGGAAUAUUGGACAAUGGGCGAAGGCCUGAUCCAGCAAUGCCGCGUGAGUGAUGAAGGCCUUAGGGUUGUAAAGCCCUUUUACCCGGGAUGAUAAUGACAGUACCGGGAGAAUAAGCUCCGGCUAACUCCGUG
Molecule: ribosomal RNA, 433 nt
Filed under: uncultured bacterium
Lineage: Bacteria
Description: partial 16S ribosomal RNA
Rfam family: Bacterial small subunit ribosomal RNA
Source: RNAcentral